This 481-nucleotide ribosomal RNA is filed under the name uncultured archaeon. RNAcentral's name for it is "bacterial SSU rRNA". It matches the Rfam family "Archaeal small subunit ribosomal RNA", at positions 376 to 859 of the family's 1478-position model. The record is from RNAcentral.
CUAUCCCGAGUGCCAUCCGCUGAGGAAGGCUUUUACCCAGUCUAGAACGCUGGGGGAAUAAGGAGAGGGCAAGUCUGGUGUCAGCCGCCGCGGUAAUACCAGCUCUCCGAGUGGUGUGGAUGUUUAUUGGGCCUAAAGCAUCCGUAGCUGGCUAAGUUAGUCCCUUGUUAAAUCCACCGAAUUAAUCGUUGGAUUGCGGGGGAUACUGCUUGGCUAGGGGACGAGAGAGGCAGACGGUAUUUUCGGGGUAGGGGUGAAAUCCUAUAAUCCCGGGAAGACCACCAGUGGCGAAGGCUGUCUGCUAAAACGCGCCCGACGGUGAGGGAUGAAAGCUGGGGGAGCGAACCGGAUUAUAUACCCGGGUAGUCCCAGCUGUAAACGAUGCAGGCUAGGUGUUUGGACGGCCACGUGCCGUUCUAGUGCCGCAGGGAAGCUGUUAAGCCUGCCGCCUGGGGAGUACGAUCGCAAGAUUGAAACUUAA